UGGGGAAUAUUGGACAAUGGGGGCAACCCUGAUCCAGCAAUGCCGCGUGUGUGAAGAAGGCCUGCGGGUUGUAAAGCACUUUCAGUGGGGAGGAGGCUUGUUAGGUUAAGAGCUAGAUAAGUGGACGUUACCCACAAAAGCAGCACCGGCUAACUCCGUGCCAGCAGCCGCGGUAAUACGGAGGGUGCAAGCGUUAAUCGGAAUUACUGGGCGUAAAGGGUGCGUAGGUGGUUUGGUAAGUUAUGUGUGAAAUCCCCGGGCUUAACCUGGGAGGGUCAGAUAAUACUGCCGAACUAGAGUAUGAGAGAGGGUAGUGGAAUUUCCGGUGUAGCGGUGAAAUGCGUAGAGAUCGGAAGGAACACCAGUGGCGAAGGCGGCUACCUGGCUCAAUACUGACACUGAGGCACGAAAGCGUGGGGAGCAAACA
Molecule: ribosomal RNA, 427 nt
Filed under: uncultured bacterium
Lineage: Bacteria
Description: bacterial SSU rRNA
Rfam family: Bacterial small subunit ribosomal RNA
Source: RNAcentral